RNAcentral lists this small nucleolar RNA (63 nucleotides) under Fulmarus glacialis (Northern fulmar). RNAcentral describes it as "Small nucleolar RNA SNORA5". It matches the Rfam family "Small nucleolar RNA SNORA5", at positions 1 to 64 of the family's 134-position model. From Rfam's summary of the family: ACA5 is a member of the H/ACA class of snoRNA that guide the sites of modification of uridines to pseudouridines. Lineage: Eukaryota; Metazoa; Chordata; Aves; Procellariiformes; Procellariidae. The record is from Rfam by way of RNAcentral.
CGCAGCCUAGUCAAAUUUGGUGCCUGCCUCUGCCGUGGUGGGGACCGGCCCGAGGGCUGCCAC